Molecule: long non-coding RNA, 319 nt
Filed under: Gallus gallus (chicken)
Lineage: Eukaryota; Metazoa; Chordata; Aves; Galliformes; Phasianidae
Description: lncRNA (ENSGALG00010000290.1)
Source: RNAcentral
AUAAGAUCCCAUAAGACCCCACCAGAACCCCAUAAGACCUCACCAGAACCCCAUAAGACCCCAUCAGACCCCUCCAGAACCCCAUAGAACCCCACCAGAACCUCAUAAGACCCCACCAGAACCCCAUAAGAUCCCAUAAGACCCCACCAGAACCCCAUAAGAUCCCACCAGACCCCACCAGAACCCCAUCAGACCCCACCAGAACCCCAUAAGAUCCCAUCAGACCCCAUAAGACCCCACCAGACCCCACCAGAACCCCAUAAGACCCCACCAGAACCCCAUAAGAUCCCAUAGGAUCCCACCAGAACCCCAUAAGACC